This 410-nucleotide ribosomal RNA is filed under the name uncultured microorganism. RNAcentral's name for it is "bacterial SSU rRNA". It matches the Rfam family "Bacterial small subunit ribosomal RNA", at positions 509 to 917 of the family's 1533-position model. The record is from RNAcentral.
CAGCCGCCGCGGUAAUACGUAGGGUGCGAGCGUUAAUCGGAUUUACUGGGCGUAAAGCGUGCGCAGGCGGCCCGUUAAGACAGGUGUGAAAUCCCUGGGCUCAACCUAGGAAUUGCGCUUGUGACUGGCGGGCUCGAGUACGGUAGAGGGGGGUGGAAUUCCUGGUGUAGCAGUGAAAUGCGUAGAGAUCAGGAGGAACACCGAUGGCGAGGGCAGCCCCCUGGGCCUGUACUGACGCUCAUGCACGAAAGCGUGGGGAGCAAACAGGAUUAGAUACCCUGGUAGUCCACGCCCUAAACGAUGGGUACUAGCCGUUUGGUGCGCGAUAGCGCUGAGUGGCGAAGCUAACGCGUGAAGUACCCCGCCUGGGGAGUACGGCCGCAAGGUUGAAACUUAAAGGAAUUGGCGGG